This 1252-nucleotide ribosomal RNA is filed under the name metagenome. RNAcentral describes it as "SSU rRNA". It matches the Rfam family "Eukaryotic small subunit ribosomal RNA", at positions 478 to 1759 of the family's 1831-position model. The record is from RNAcentral.
UAACGGGGCGGUCCUCUAUGAGGCCCGUCAUUGUAUUGAGUAAAACUCAAAAUAUUUAACGAAACCAAUUGGAGGGCAAGUCUGGUGCCAGCAGCCGCGGUAAUUCCAGCUCCAAAAGCAUAUAUUAAAGUUGUUGCGGUUAAAAAGCUCGUAGUUGGAUCCAUGACCUCGGAGGGCGGUCCCCCACUGGGUGCGUACUGCUGCUCCGAGUCCUAUCUGUCAGUUUGUCUGUGUUGCCUCUAAUCGGGUGGCACAGGUGACUGACGUGUUUACUUUGAAAAAAUUAGAGUGUUUAAAGCAGGCGUUGAAUGCCUGAAUAGUGGUGCAUGGAAUAAUGGAAUAGGAUCUCGGUUCUAUUUUGUUGGUUCAAGAGCAUGAGAAAAUGAUUAAGAGGGACAGACGGGGGCAUUUGUAUUGCUGCGUUAGAGGUGAAAUUCUUGGAUCGUAGCAAGACAAACUACUGCGAAGGCAUUUGCCAAGAAUGUUUUCAUUAAUCAAGAACGAAAGUUAGAGGUUCGAAGGCGGUCAGAUACCGCCCUAGUUCUAACCGUAAACCAUGUCGACUAGCUAUCUGUCAGCGUUAAUAAUGACCUGACAGGCAGCUUACCGGAAACGAAGGUUUCUCGAUUCCGGGGGUAGUAUGGUUGCAAAGCUGAAACUUAAAGGAAUUGACGGAAGGGCACCACCAGGAGUGGAGCCUGCGGCUUAAUUUGACCCAACGCGGGAAAACUCACCCGGCCCGGACACCGUAAGGAUUGACAGAUUAAUAGCUCUUUCUCGAUUUGGUGAUUGGUGGUGCAUGGCCGUUCUUAGUUGGUGGAGCGAUUUGUCUGGUUAAUUCCGAUAACGAACGAGAUUCUAACUUACUAACUAGUUCCACGAUCCUUGUGGUCCUAAAUACUUCUUAGAGGGAAAACCGGCAUUUAGUCGAACGAGAUUGAGCAAUAACAGGUCUGUGAUGCCCUUAGAUGUCCGGGGCUGCACGCGUGCUACACUGAAGGAAUCAGCGUGUUUUUCCCUUGCCUGUAAUGGCUGGGUAACCGACUGAAUCUCCUUCGUGUUAGGGAUAGAUCAUUGAAACUAGUGAUCUUCAACUUGGAAUUCCUGGUACGUUUGAGUCAUAAGCUCAAGCAGAUUACGUCCCUGCCCUUUGUACACACCGCCCGUCGCUACUACCGACUGGCAAUAUCUUUGAGACACUUGGAGCGGCCGUGAGCUACCCUAACCGGUAACUCACGGCUGCGAAAAGGUU